This 2063-nucleotide long non-coding RNA is filed under the name Parus major (Great Tit). RNAcentral's name for it is "lncRNA (ENSPMJG00000009627.1)". The record is from RNAcentral. Lineage: Eukaryota; Metazoa; Chordata; Aves; Passeriformes; Paridae.
CACGAAUAGGAGACUCUAAGGUAAUAUUUACUUUGGUUUACAUUUCAUAAAAAAAGAAGACUGUAAUUUCAUGGAGGCUCUAACAGAAAUUCCUCUUUCUAUCCAAGCGGAAGAAAUCAUGUUCAGGACCUUUCCCCCAGGGCUCAAGGAAAGCACAUUAACAUGGCAACUCCCACUUUGCUUUAUUUGCAAGUUACCCUUGCAGGAGGAUGAGGUUGGAAUUGAGACAAGCUAUAAGUGAACUAACAGGCCAAAGCCUGGGACAUUAAGGGGUAGGCAAAGAUGCUGAGAGGAUAAUCCCAAAGAUGCAGCUCUCCAGCUGAUGAAAAUCAGAAGAGCCAGAUAAUCACUGAGAUAGAUUUUCACCUAGACAGAAGGUAAUUGCAGUGGCUGUAAGCACAAGGGGCGCAGUGGUGACUCCAGUUCUGCCUGUCACCCUUGCCACCACUGACCUUCCCGGCCCUGUGUUUUGGGAUGCUAGAGGAGGGGCUGAGGCCCUUUGAGUGACCUGAAAGGAUGAGCAGGAGGCCUGUCCAGAGCAGCAGUGGGAAAAGACACGUGCAGCGAGCCCUGAGCGUGGGGGAAGCAGAGCUGCAGCCUGUUGCAGACACAGGAGCCUCUGGAGCACAGGUGAUCCCAGGACCUCUCCACACUGAGGCUGAAGGAGCUCUGGCCAGGUGGGACAGUGCCAGUGCCACAGCCAGGCCGGUGCCCAGCCCUGCUCUGCUCCUGCCUUGGGACACUCGGACGCUCGGACAGGUCUCUGGGGAAUGAAGAAAGACUCUGGCUGUGGCUGCUUUUAUGGGUGAGUUUUCAACGGGGUAUCAGAAGUUCAGGGAUUAAAGAUGUUUUUUGGUAUUUCUUGAAAGUCAAAAGCUUUGUCACAUUAUAUUAAAGAGCUCAGUUCUUUAGCAAUGGGGCUUUGCAAAUAUUUCUCGCUCCCCUUUUUGUUCCAAGAAGUGAAUGAUCUGAAACUACCAGGACCUCCAAACCACACUGAGUACCCAGGCCAAGCCCCAGGUUGCGGUCCCACUGUGUUUCCUCCUUGUGCCAGGCUGGAGUGGCUCAGGGGACAGACUGGGGAGGCUGAAAUCAGGGUUGCUCAGAUUUUAUUCUCAGCUGAAACUCAAGGUUUUUAUCAGAAUUAAUUCCCUGUCAGAAACCUGCUGCACAGCUGAGGGGACUGCUAUGAAAGGAGGACAUCCCAGCGCUGGUGGUGUUGGGAGGAGCAGGCACAGAGCUGUGCAGUGGGAUGCCUGCCGUGACUCUGAGCCACUUCCAGAGCAGCAUCCAUCCCCUGCUCCUCACUCCCCACGGUCGGCAGCACAGCAUGGGGCUCCUGUGUCUGCACAAGCUGCUGUUUGCAGAGAAGCACCCUUUACCCUGAAGUGUACAAGCACACACUGCCAGAAAGGUCACCACUGUUUUGUGUAGACCUCAAGAGAAGAACAUGAAUUAAUUUGUUCCCCCCAAAUAACAUUUUAUUUUAGAAACAGGAGAGCUGUUUUUUUUCUCUUGUGCAGUCUGAGGUAUAAUAUUGAGUUCCAGUUUCCCUUAAGAGCUGAACUUCAUCCUCCUACUAGGAUGGUUUUAUUUUAGUUACCAAAUAUUUGAGGUUAAAGUGAAUAGUUCAUCUUUAAUGGGAUUAUCUCUUUCAAUGUUUGCUUUCAUUACAGUUUGAAUUGCUCUGAGCAUGAGAAUCUAACCUCACCAAAAGCAUAUUUUUGUAAUUUGAUACAAACUAAAUUUAACCUUUGACUCUCAUCUAUAAAGACGUUACUUUUUUCCACUGAAAAGCAGAAUGUUAGAUUAAAGAUCUGCCAGUUUCAAUUUCCAGGUUGCUAGCUUUCCUGUGAUUGGGUCCUGCACUGUGGAAAGCUGUGGAUUCAGUGAAGGUAUUUAAUGUUAGCACUAACGCUUGAGAUGCUCUCAUACCUGCUACUUUUAAUGGCUAGCUGUAAGUUCUUUACUGAGUUUUUACAUAGGCAAUAAUUUCCCUGACCUACACUGUACAAUACAGGAGUGGACAGAGAUAUUUAAAAUAAAAUCUUCCCUUUGAGUCA